RNAcentral lists this ribosomal RNA (452 nucleotides) under uncultured bacterium. Its description in RNAcentral is "partial 16S ribosomal RNA". It matches the Rfam family "Bacterial small subunit ribosomal RNA", at positions 28 to 523 of the family's 1533-position model. The record is from RNAcentral.
AACGAACGCUGGCGGCAGGCUUAACACAUGCAAGUCGAGCGGGCGCUUUCGGGCGUCAGCGGCGGACGGGUUAGUAACGCGUGGGAACGUGCCCUUUGCUCUGGAAUAGCCCUGGGAAACCGGGGGUAGUACCGGAUGUGCCCUGGGGGGGAAAGGUUUUACCGGCAAGGGAUCGGCGCGCGUCUGUUUAGGUAGUUGGUGUGGUAAAGGCGCACCAAGCCGACGAGCGGUAGCUGGUUUGAGAGCAGGAGCAGCAACACUGGGACUGAGACACGGCCCAGGCCCCUGCGGAAGGCAGCAGUGGGUAAUCUUAGGCAAUGGGCGAAAGCCUGAUCUAGCCCGGCCGCGUGGGUGAUGAAGGCCUUAGAGGCGUAAAGCCCUUUCGCCGGGGAAGAUAAUGACGGUACCCGGUAAAGAAACCCCGGCUAACUCCGUGCCAGCCGCCGCCGUAA